This 576-nucleotide long non-coding RNA is filed under the name Salmo salar (Atlantic salmon). Its description in RNAcentral is "lncRNA (ENSSSAG00000106840.1, ENSSSAG00020051531.1)". The record is from RNAcentral. Lineage: Eukaryota; Metazoa; Chordata; Actinopteri; Salmoniformes; Salmonidae.
UGAAGGGAGAGGUUUUAUACCCCCCAACGAAAAAAAAAGCUGUCCACGAAGAUAAGACCACGAGUUUUUUGCAGGUAACAUACGUUCAUGCAGACAACAGACUCCGGUUGCAUCCAUAGUCAUCGGGAAAUCGGUUUUGCUGCACCACUGCAAGGAACACGUUAAGCAAGAAAAGCAGGAUGCAGAAAGGAUAAGGAAGAGGAAAGGAGCAGAGAAGGGAUAGUCUUCCCGUUCUGCUCAGUGUGUAUGUGUUGGGGUGCAUGAAGCUGUAGACCACUGCACUGAUGGAGAAGAGGGAGAGGAAGCCUGGCUACUUUGCCAGUUAGUCUUGUCUCAUCGCUGCAUCUCCCGUACGGACUCAGGAGAGGCGAAGGUCGAGAGCCAUGCGUCCUCCGAAACACAACCCAACCAAGCCGCACUGCUUUUUGACACAACGCACAUCCACCCCGGAAGCCAGCCGCACCAAUGUGUCGGAGGAAACACGGUACACCUGGUCACCGUGCACUGCGCCCGGCCCGCCACAGGAGUCGCUAGUGCGCGAUGAGACAAGGAUAUCCCUGCCGGCCAAACCCUCCC